GGGGGUAUAGCUCAGGUGGUAGAGUGCUUACCUUGCAUGUAUAAGGCCCCAGGUUCAAUCCCCAGCACCACCC
This is a non-coding RNA of Ictidomys tridecemlineatus (thirteen-lined ground squirrel), 73 nucleotides long. NCBI's taxonomy places the organism in Eukaryota, Metazoa, Chordata, Mammalia, Rodentia, Sciuridae. The record is from Rfam.